GAGGCUGUGGCUCAAUAGUAGAGCAUCUGCUUGGCUUGCAGAAUGUCCCAGGUUCAAGCCCCAGCAUCUUCG
RNAcentral lists this transfer RNA (72 nucleotides) under Sphaerodactylus townsendi. RNAcentral's name for it is "tRNA-Ala". It matches the Rfam family "tRNA". Rfam says of the family: Transfer RNA (tRNA) molecules are approximately 80 nucleotides in length. Their secondary structure includes four short double-helical elements and three loops (D, anti-codon, and T loops). Further hydrogen bonds mediate the characteristic L-shaped molecular structure. tRNAs have two regions of fundamental functional importance: the anti-codon, which is responsible for specific mRNA codon recognition, and the 3' end, to which the tRNAs corresponding amino acid is attached (by aminoacyl-tRNA synthetases). tRNAs cope with the degeneracy of the genetic code in two manners: having more than one tRNA (with a specific anti-codon) for a particular amino acid; and 'wobble' base-pairing, i.e. permitting non-standard base-pairing at the 3rd anti-codon position. Lineage: Eukaryota; Metazoa; Chordata; Lepidosauria; Squamata; Sphaerodactylidae. The record is from RNAcentral.